UAAUAUUUGUCAAGGAUGAAGCACAUUGCACUAUUGUUUCACAAGUGGACAAAGGUGUUCUUACUGUUACAUUUCUACAAAGUAUUGGCUAGCAUAUGCUCUAACAAGACCUAUUGCCACACUGGUAUUUUUGUUUCUUCCUCUAUCCAAGCUCUGUAUCUUUUCCAACCAAGAAUGUUGUAAAAAUUUUCACAACAAAGAAAACAUUAAAAAUUUGAAAGAAUAGAGGCUACAAUUUCAUUUUCCCCAAAAUAUUUAAAAUUUGAUGUCAUUUUCCUUCAUUUUCAUUUUAUUUCGAUUUCUUUCGUAGGCUACUCAGACAAAACAGAAUCGAAUACUCUAAAUGGGAAUUCUAUUUCCAAAACAUUCAUUUCAUCUAGUUUCAUGGCUUUGGUUUUUUUCUUUGUUUUUAGAUCUGAAAACGCUUUUUGUCUAGAUCUGGUUUUCUUUUUCAAAUUCCAUCUCAAAUAAAUCUUGAAAAUUUGUUUAUGGGGUAAUUUUUUUGUUCAAAUCAAGAGUUAGGAGCAGUGGAAGCUUCCAUUUUCAAGGCGUCAAUGACCCUCUAAAUGCACAAUUUCCCCACCAUCAAAUCUACCCACUUUUCUUCUUUGACUUAUUUCCCACACAGUUUCUCUGCACAGACAUUUUCCACUUCAUUCAAGCAUCUUUCAGGUUUAGUUAUUUUUUACCUUGUUCAUUUUCACAUCCAUGUUGGUUUUUAAUUUUUUUCCUGUAAUUUGUAACCAAACCCAUGUAAAAAUUUGGGGGUACUGAGUGGACGAACCUUAAAUUUUUAUGCACUUGGUUGGAAUCUUGAUUAGAUUAUUGUUAUUUGUAGUUUCUUCAUUUUUUUUAAUGAUUGGUACAUUUGCUUCUUUUUUUCUUAUGUCCGAUUUGAUCUUCUCAAUGUUUCUUUUUUAGCUAUUUUAGAAUAUAAUCAAGAUGGGUAACUUAUCUGCUGCCUUUUGUUGUUUCAUUAAGAAAGGAUUUAAGGAAGUCUUUAAGACCUUUUAAAGUAAUAUUAUAUUUUCAAAUGGUUUAUGAGAUCCUUGGAGUGGCAGUAGGUGGUACCUUUGGAAUAGUCGUGUUCAUUAAAUUGUCUAAUUGCCAAAUCAUUAAUUGUAACGAAUGAUACACGAUUGUAGCUCUUGUUACCGAAAAAGGUAAAUCUACCUAACAUUUUCAGAUGUCAGCCCAUCCAGAUGAUAGUGGGUUUAAGGCAACCCUACCUUCCCUUUUGCCACUGGUGGGAUUAAAUCCAUGGAUGGUUAGAAAUCCUACUUUCUUUUUGCCAUUGGUGGGAUUAAAUGCAUGGAUAGUUAGGAUUCUAUGUAUUGAAUCCAAUCGUGUCUGUAACAACUCUUUCAAUUGAAGUUACAUAUUACUGUCAUUAUCAAAUUUGAGUUAUGGAAAAAACAUAGUAAUUUCUGUAUCUGUGAAUCAAUCUGGAGUUGAGAAAGUUGGAUUUUGAUGUAUUAGAGUCAUGAGAUGAAAAACUUGUUGCUUCAUUUUGAUAUUUACUAUUUCUGAUACUCAUUAAGAAAUUUGGGAAAUGAAAUAAAUUUGAAAACUCAAUCUUUGGCUUCUUCUAAAGCUGCACGGUUUAAUUUAAUUCUUUGUUAAAGCUCAACAAACAGUUUUUGUCUUUGUUCUUUUGAAAGAAACUUGAGAAAUUCUAAAUCUUUAUUUUCUUUUCUACAUGCUUUUUAUGUUCACUUUGUCUCAUUUUAGAACGUCUACAUUUACACCUCUUUUAUGCUGGAAAGGAUAUAGAUACUUUAAAAGCUACUCAGGACUUUUGCAACAGUAUUGAACAAAAUAAUCGUAGGUAAAAUUUGUGGACUUGAUGCUACUCCUGGAUAAUGCAAUUAAUUAGUUAUUGCUGCAGUCACCCUAUUAUAGACCUCAUUGUUUGUACAUGGGAGAACUUGGACUUUUAUUUCUCCACAUUUUAAAUAGCCCAAGUUAUAUAUUUGUUUUAUUACAGUAUUUAUUUCAUUUAAAAUUACACAUUCAAUUAUAUCUUGACCACAAAUUUUCUUUCAUUAGAUAUUCCAAAUUUGCCAACUGUCAUUGCUUCUUUAUACUUCACACUUACUAAAAACAAAUAUUUGCUUCACUACAAACCACUAAUUUUACUAAAAGAACACCUGUCCCUUGUAAAAAAUCACUUAAGCACCACCUGGCAACCCACUUCCCACAGCCAUUCCCUAAAAUUUUUUGUUUAUAAUAGUAAACAAAAAUUCUUGCCUGCCACUACACAUUUUCCAGUCUGUAUUCAAAAUAGAAAUCUAACUUUCACACCAAACUUUCAUCAUUUAAGACACGAAAGAAAAUCUUCACAUGGUUUGUCUUCUCCAACUUCAUUUGCUCAUUUCUAACUUCAUCCUGGUAAUUUCGUUUCUUUCACCCAACAGUAUACAUUAACAGCAAACAAUUUCAAAAACAUCAUUCCAUAUAUCUUUCAAUAUCUAUGUUUCAUUUUAACUCUUCUAUUUCUAACCAUUCUCAUCUACUAAUCAAAUAGAAUUCAUUGCAGAUAGAAAUGGCAACAUAACACAAACGCAUACCUGACAUCAAACCUGGAGAGUCUGGCUGGAUUGUAGAAGCAGUAGUUUCAGAAAAAUGCUCUCUCAACAAAGCUCGGAAUAGUCCAUUGAAAUACCAACACAUUUGGUUAAUGGAUCCCAAGGUAAAUCUUCUCACAUAGUUUAAGUUCCUUUAUUUGAAACUUUGAUCCACAAUAAAUCAAAAUCAUUAACUUUAAACAUCUGUUUAUCAAUUUUUUAAUCUAAAUUAAGAGCACAUAAUGUCCUCUCAAACUCUUUCUUCAUUUGAAAACGAGAUUGCUAGAUUUAAUUCAUUCAAGUUGUAAUAUUUUUAAGUCUCAAAUGUAGCAACUUCCAGAAUAUAUAAAUGAAAACAUGUAUAAAAUUGGAUUCUAAACAUGUAGAUAUACCCUUCUUUUGAAAGAGGAACACCACUUCAAUAUCGUUAAUGUAUUUUAUAUCCAAAUCUAUUGUUCUUGUGCAUUAUAUGCUCAAAUGGUAAACUUAAUUUUCCUUGUCCAAACUUGUCAAAUUUCUGCCUCACCUAACAGUAAUUGACAGUCAUCCAUUGCCUUGAGCAGAACCUGGUCUGGGUUCGAGCCCUAGCAUCUCUCAAUUCAGAUUCUACAACAUCUCUAUUUGCCAUACUUGAUUUUGUUCAUUAUACAUAUUAACAUGUAAGGGCUCUGGUUUUUACUUCAUAUUACCACCGCCAAUGUAAGUACCUGUGAACACAUAUUUUAUAUAAUUCAAUGUAAUCAUCCUUCAAAUAAGUUUCAUUUUUUGUUGAAGUACCACAACCGAAUUUCAACAUUAUUUCUUACACUACAUCACCCACUAAUGCGUUGCACGUGCAUUCACUAGUAGUAAAUAUAAAAGAGUACAUAUGGCUAAUGUUCAUAAGCUGAAUGGCCAUGUAGGCCUAGACGCUUUGGAAUGAGCCGUGAUAGCCGAGUUGUGUGUAAGUGGGUUGGUUUAAAAAUUUGAUUUUCCUUUUGUUUGUGUGGUUAACUCUCUCUUUUCAUUCAUUUUCCUCGUUUCCACACGCAAUCUCAAUAUCUCUCUUCAUACUUUCAUACAUGUUUUCAUUUUCUCUGCAGCUGUUCUUUUGCCACCAAAAUCACUAUCUUUUAAUCAUAUCUUCUCUUGCACUAUUGGUACGUUGAUAGAUAUUAUCUGUGGCGAACCCUAAAUCUUUAUUCUUCUUCAUUUCUUCUACUAUCCAAAAUCAUCUCUUCUCUUACACUAUUGGUACGUUGACGAUGUCGUUUUUCUUCUUUUACAUCUUUGAAAAUCCAAAUCCGCUUAUUGAAUGUAGAUUUUGCUGAUCUGAUCUAUGUGUAUCAACUAAAGAUCAGCUCAGGACAGAAAGAUAAACACAUCGGUCUAAAUGUUCCCUCCCUUCCACAUGUUACCACGCACACAUUUUUUUAUUUUUUUAUUUUUAUAUGUAAGAUUUUUUGGGAAGAACAAUGAAAAUGGUCUUUGAUUAUACUGAUUAGAGGUUUUUAGUCAUAUGGGUUUUGAUAAUCAAUAGAUUCAAGGAAAUGGGUAUUUGAUAAAUUUGGAAAAUUUUGAUGUACGAGUCUUUGAUUUUGUUAUUUGAUUCUGAUUUGUUUAUUGCUAAAAUCUAGAAAACUUGAUAUCUUGCUUCUAUACAUAUAAAGAUUGAACUUCUCUAACAAGAAUUAUGUUCUAUUUUUGCGUAAUCGAAAUAUUGCAACUUUUGGUAAUUAAUCAAUCAAUCUUAUUGAAUAUCAUGUUAUUUGUUUCCUAUCAUACGAGAAUCCGGAAAAGAUCCUUUUUAUUACACGUGUUCUCCUUUUCUUUGGUGUAAAUAACUUGAUGAAUAUUGUGUGUUUACUUGUUCAUGCGAUUUAAUUGGUUCUUAUAUUUUCCUCUGGAAUGUGUGAUAAUCUUUCUUUGAAGAGGAUCGAAGGGUCGAACUUUUGAUAAUUCUUUAUAACGAAGAAUCACAAGUGUUGGCUAAUCUUGCCUUAGCAAGUAUGACACACAAGUAUGCUCAUCAAUACUAUUGGUGUUUCCAUUUGAUUCAAUGACUAUAAAAUAUUUUGUUGUUUGUUUGGUUUUACUUCUUUUUUUUUUCUACUUAUUAAGCUCCCAUUUGGCCCACAUUAAUUUUCAUUUCAUUACAUUUCAUUUUUCUCUUUCUUAUUUUCAGCUACACAAUCUUUCAUAAAAUAAUAUUACACGUAAAUCAAAAUUUUUUUCCUUCUUUUUCAACCACUAAUUUUUCAAAAAAAUACUAUUCCACCCAUUAAUUUCCUACAAAAUGGGGGCCAAAUGGAGGCUAAGGCUGACACCCACACUUGUUAAAUAAAUUUAAAUAAUUGUUUCUCACACCCAGAGUAUUUCAAAACAACUUAGUUUUAUUCCUCUUUUUUACUUUGUGCUUUUCCUUUUGCUUGAUAUACAUUUCUCAUAUCUACUACCGAAUUGUGCAAAAAUGCUACAAUACGAAAUUAUUUAUGUUCAUUCAUUUUACUCAAAAUAGUGUUAUACUCUAAUGUAGGGCCCAUAACGGUUCUAUUUCUCAUUCUUAUUUUCAUUAUAAUGUGGUUCAAACGGGCUCUAAAGAGUUACGUGACUUUACAUUUUGAUGAAUCAAUCAUUUAAGGCCAUGCAAUUACAACUUAGCCCUUGUUUGAUAUCCUUAAAUGUUUAAAAACAUUGUUUUGAAUAGUAUUUUUUAAUGUGUGGUUAAAAUGUAGAAAAAUUUUUAAAUUUAUAUGUGGAAUAUUUUAUUAUAUGAAUGUAUGAUUGAAAAUGAGUAUGAGAAAUAAAUUAAAGAAUGCCAAUCACGGGCUUAGAUUAGUGUUUAACACUGAUUGUGAUGAAUAUCAUUGUUCUUUCUAAAACGAAGUAAUCAAACGAAGAGGAUGGGGCCAAAAUCAUCCCUCCUAAUAAUUUUCGAGAUGGAAUGUGAAAGAGUUUUGAGGCAAGACAGGAAUUGAAAAAUCUCUAUUACUGUUUCAUUUACUUAAUUUUGUAUCUUAAUGUAACUUUUUAUUCUUUCAAAUACGAUUUAAAUUUGAACGAUAUGAAUAGAUAAAUCAAGGCUAGUUUUGAUAAUUUGGGAUAGGAGCCAUGUUCCCCAUCCAGCAUGCCCUGCUUACAAUUCAAGGCGGGACAAUUCAGUUCUGGUUGAAGGCAAAAAAAUUUGGUCAUUCUAGCCAAAGAGUCAUUUCAAAAUUGGUUUACUUUUAUUUUAGGAUGUUCUUCAUGAGGUACUUGAACGAAG
This 5811-nucleotide long non-coding RNA is filed under the name Olea europaea subsp. europaea. Lineage: Eukaryota; Viridiplantae; Streptophyta; Magnoliopsida; Lamiales; Oleaceae. The record is from RNAcentral.